Molecule: non-coding RNA, 91 nt
Organism: Salmo salar (Atlantic salmon)
Lineage: Eukaryota; Metazoa; Chordata; Actinopteri; Salmoniformes; Salmonidae
Source: Rfam
GCGGACUGUGGAGUGGUUUAGGUAGUUUCAUGUUGUUGGGAUCCAUUUUCUACCUCUACAACACGAAACUGUCUGAAUUGGCCCAGUUUAA